This 64-nucleotide transfer RNA is filed under the name Loxocephala perpunctata. RNAcentral's name for it is "tRNA-Ser". Lineage: Eukaryota; Metazoa; Arthropoda; Insecta; Hemiptera; Eurybrachidae. The record is from RNAcentral.
AGUUAAUAAGCUUUAAGCAUAAUAUCUUGAAAAUAUUAAAAAGAAUUCAAAUUUCUAUUAACUU